RNAcentral lists this ribosomal RNA (460 nucleotides) under Streptococcus sp. oral taxon 058. RNAcentral's name for it is "bacterial SSU rRNA". It matches the Rfam family "Bacterial small subunit ribosomal RNA", at positions 28 to 474 of the family's 1533-position model. The record is from RNAcentral. Lineage: Bacteria; Bacillati; Bacillota; Bacilli; Lactobacillales; Streptococcaceae.
GACGAACGCGGCGGCGUGCCUAAUACAUGCAAGUAGAACGCUGAAGGAGGAGCUUGCUUCUCUGGAUGAGUUGCGAACGGGUGAGUAACGCGUAGGUAACCUGCCUGGUAGCGGGGGAUAACUAUUGGAAACGAUAGCUAAUACCGCAUAAUAUUGAUUAUUGCAUGAUAGUCAAUUAAAAGGUGCAAUUGCAUCACUACCAGAUGGACCUGCGUUGUAUUAGCUAGUUGGUGAGGUAACGGCUCACCAAGGCGACGAUACAUAGCCGACCUGAGAGGGUGAUCGGCCACACUGGGACUGAGACACGGCCCAGACUCCUACGGGAGGCAGCAGUAGGGAAUCUUCGGCAAUGGACGGAAGUCUGACCGAGCAACGCCGCGUGAGUGAAGAAGGUUUUCGGAUCGUAAAGCUCUGUUGUAAGAGAAGAACGAGUGUGAGAGUGGAAAGUCACACUGUGACG